GUCUACAGCCAUGCCACCCUGAACAAGCCCAAUUUCCAUCUGAUCUCGGAAGCUAAGCAGGGUCGGGCCUGGUUAGUACUUGGAUGGGAGACCACUUAGGAAGACCAGGUGCUGUAGGCG
RNAcentral lists this ribosomal RNA (120 nucleotides) under Pteropus alecto (black flying fox). The record is from RNAcentral. Lineage: Eukaryota; Metazoa; Chordata; Mammalia; Chiroptera; Pteropodidae.